CCUACGGGAGGCAGCAGUAGGGAAUAUUGCACAAUGGGCGGAACCCUGAUGCAGCAAUGCCGCGUGAAGGAUGAAGGUUUUCGGAUUGUAAACUUCUUUUGUACGGGACGAAGAAAGUGACGGUAACGUAAGAAUAAGCCACUGACAACGACCGGCCAGCAGCCGCGGUAAUAAGGAGGUGGCAAGCACUAUUCGGAUUUACUGGGUGUAAAGGGGGAGUAGGCGGGAUUGCAAGUCAGAUGUGAAAACUAUGGGCACAACCGAAGGAGUGCAUUUGAAAUUGUUGUUCUUGAGUGUGGGAGAGGCAGGCGGAAUUCCCGGUGUAGCGGUGGAAUGCGUAGAGAUCAGGAGGAACACUAGUUGCGAAGGCGGCCUGCUGGACCAUAACUGACGCUGAGGCGCGAAAGCGUGGGGAGCAAACAGGAUUAGAUACCCUGGUAGUC
This 443-nucleotide ribosomal RNA is filed under the name uncultured bacterium. RNAcentral describes it as "partial 16S ribosomal RNA". It matches the Rfam family "Bacterial small subunit ribosomal RNA", at positions 338 to 795 of the family's 1533-position model. The record is from RNAcentral.